GGGGUGUGUGCUUUGUAGCUCAGAGGAAGAGCAUGUGCUUUGCACACAGAAGGCCCCAGGUUCAAUUCUUGGCAUCUCCA
Molecule: transfer RNA, 80 nt
Filed under: Sphaerodactylus townsendi
Lineage: Eukaryota; Metazoa; Chordata; Lepidosauria; Squamata; Sphaerodactylidae
Description: tRNA-Ala
Rfam family: tRNA (bases 14-74)
About the family: Transfer RNA (tRNA) molecules are approximately 80 nucleotides in length. Their secondary structure includes four short double-helical elements and three loops (D, anti-codon, and T loops).
Source: RNAcentral